GAGGAGCGCUGCUAACCAUGCAGUCGACGAUGACCGGUUUCGGCCGGGGAUUAGUGGCGAACGGGUGAGUAACACGUGGGCAAUCUGCCCUGCACUCUGGGACAAGCCCUGGAAACGGGGUCUAAUACCGGAUACGACUGCCGACCGCAUGGUCUGGUGGUGGAAAGCUCCGGCGGUGCAGGAUGAGCCCGCGGCCUAUCAGCUUGUUGGUGGGGUGAUGGCCUACCAAGGCGACGACGGGUAGCCGGCCUGAGAGGGCGACCGGCCACACUGGGACUGAGACACGGCCCAGACUCCUACGGGAGGCAGCAGUGGGGAAUAUUGCACAAUGGGCGCAAGCCUGAUGCAGCGACGCCGCGUGAGGGAUGACGGCCUUCGGGUUGUAAACCUCUUUCAGCAGGGAAGAAGCGUGAGUGACGGUACCUGCAGAAGAAGCGCCGGCUAACUACGUGCCAGCAGCCGCGGUAAUACGUAGGGCGCAAGCGUUGUCCGGAAUUAUUGGGCGUAAAGAGCUCGUAGGCGGCUUGUCGCGUCGGAUGUGAAAGCCCGGGGCUUAACUCCGGGUCUGCAUUCGAUACGGGCAGGCUAGAGUUCGGUAGGGGAGAUCGGAAUUCCUGGUGUAGCGGUGAAAUGCGCAGAUAUCAGGAGGAACACCGGUGGCGAAGGCGGAUCUCUGGGCCGAUACUGACGCUGAGGAGCGAAAGCGUGGGAAGGCCAAACAGAAAAUGGGGAAAA
The sequence is a ribosomal RNA, 735 nucleotides long. It matches the Rfam family "Bacterial small subunit ribosomal RNA", at positions 39 to 794 of the family's 1533-position model.